UACGUAGGUGGCGAACGUUAUCCGGAAUUACUGGGCGUAAAGGGUCCGCAGGCGGAUGGGCAAGUCUGGCGUGAAAGCUCCCGGCUCAACUGGGAGAAGCCGUUGGAAACUGCUCGUCUUGAAUCACGCAGAGGUCGGUGGAAUUCCCGGUGUAGUGGUGGAAUGCGUAGAGAUCGGGAGGAAUCUCGAAAGCGAAGGCAGCCGGCUGGGUGAUGAUUGACGCUGAGGGACGAAAGCGUGGGGAGCGAACAGG
This 253-nucleotide unclassified non-coding RNA is filed under the name uncultured Anaerolineae bacterium. RNAcentral describes it as "contains 16S-23S intergenic spacer region". It matches the Rfam family "Bacterial small subunit ribosomal RNA", at positions 524 to 776 of the family's 1533-position model. The record is from RNAcentral. Lineage: Bacteria; Bacillati; Chloroflexota; Anaerolineae.